Molecule: ribosomal RNA, 462 nt
Filed under: uncultured bacterium
Lineage: Bacteria
Description: partial 16S ribosomal RNA
Rfam family: Bacterial small subunit ribosomal RNA
Source: RNAcentral
GAUAAACGCUGGCGGCGUGCUUAACACAUGCCAGUCGAACGAAGUUUUUCCUUCGGGAGCAACUUAGUGGCGGACGGGUGAGUAACGCGUGGGUAACCUGCCCUGUACAGGGGGACAACAGCUGGAAACGGCUGCUAAUACCGCAUAAGCACUUAGCACUGCAUGGUGCAUAGGGAAAAGGAGCAAUCCGGUACAGGAUGGACCCGCGUCUGAUUAGCCAGUUGGCAGGGUAACGGCCUACCAAAGCGACGAUCAGUAGCCGAUCUGAGAGGAUGUACGGCCACAUUGGGACUGAGACACGGCCCAGACUCCUACGGGAGGCAGCAGUGGGGAAUAUUGCACAAUGGAGGAAACUCUGAUGCAGCGACGCCGCGUGAGUGAAGAAGUAUUUCGGUAUGUAAAGCUCUAUCAGCAGGGAAGAAAAUGACGGUACCUGACUAAGAAGCACCGGCUAAAUACGUG